GACGAACGCUGGCGGCGUGCCUAAUACAUGCAAGUAGAACGCUGAAGGAGGAGCUUGCUUCUCUGGAUGAGUUGCGAACGGGUGAGUAACGCGUAGGUAACCUGCCUGGUAGCGGGGGAUAACUUUUGGAAACGAUAGCUAAUACCGCAUAACAGUAGAUAUCGCAUGAUAUCUACUUGAAAGGUGCAAUUGCAUCACUACCACAUGGACCUGCGUUGUAUUAGCUAGUUGGUGAGGUAACGGCUCACCAAGGCGACGAUACAUAGCCGACCUGAGAGGGGGAUCGGCCACACUGGGACUGAGACACGGCCCAGACUCCUACGGGAGGCAGCAGUAGGGAAUCUUCGGCAAUGGACGGAAGUCUGACCGAGCAACGCCGCGUGAGUGAAGAAGGUUUUCGGAUCGUAAAGCUCUGUUGUAAGAGAAGAACGAGUGUGAGAGUGGAAAGUUCACACUGUGACGGUAUCUUACCAGAAAGGGACGGCUAACUACGUG
Molecule: ribosomal RNA, 495 nt
Filed under: uncultured bacterium
Lineage: Bacteria
Description: partial 16S ribosomal RNA
Rfam family: Bacterial small subunit ribosomal RNA
Source: RNAcentral